GAUCAUGGCUCAGGAUGAACGCUAGCUACAGGCUUAACACAUGCAAGUCGAGGGGCAGCAUGAACUUAGCUUGCUAAGUUUGAUGGCGACCGGCGCACGGGUGAGUAACACGUAUCCAACCUGCCGAUGACUCGGGGAUAGCCUUUCGAAAGAAAGAUUAAUACCCGACUGGCAUAGUUCUUCCGCAUGGUAGAACUAUUAAAGGAAUUUCGGUUCAUCGAUGGGGAGUGCGUUCCAUUAGG
This 242-nucleotide ribosomal RNA is filed under the name uncultured bacterium. RNAcentral's name for it is "partial 16S ribosomal RNA". It matches the Rfam family "Bacterial small subunit ribosomal RNA", at positions 15 to 245 of the family's 1533-position model. The record is from RNAcentral.